Long non-coding RNA from Ictalurus punctatus (channel catfish), 4231 nucleotides. The record is from Ensembl. NCBI's taxonomy places the organism in Eukaryota, Metazoa, Chordata, Actinopteri, Siluriformes, Ictaluridae.
UCUGUCUGUCUGUCUCUCUGUCUCUGGUGAGUGAAUGAAGGUGUAAACUCCAGGGUUUUCGGGGUAAUGGCCGUCACAAACCCAUAACGAGUCCCACUUUAGCAGAAACAGCCAUUUUGUGAGUAAAGAGCCAUUUUGUGGUGUUCAUCUCCGAGCAGAGCUGCAGGUGGACUCGACCCUCAGAAAGAAACGUCCUGCUUACGGCUCGAGCCUGCAGCUGCUGAACACCAUCUCAGCUGCCCUGGUCCUAAAUCACCAUCCACAGUGAGCUCAGGAAAGCAGAAACUCCUCCUUUACUGAACUCCUUCAGAGCAGGGGAUGAGUCCGGGGUUUCUUUCCUCACACAUACUUUCAGUUUCUCAAAAAAAAGCCAUCAGUCGAAACUACUGGACAAACUGCAACACACUCGCUGCGUCAUCAUGUUUUCCCACCACAACCCCUUUCACACCACCGCGUCCAACCCCUAACCUUCUCUGUGAGGAGAUUCCCUAACUUUCACACAGGACGUCUCCAGGGUCAGCGCUUUGUCACAGUCACAGGUAAAGCAGCGCGGCAACAAUAUCGGUACCGCCACGAAGGUCAGGAUGCGAUAUCGGUACCGUGAUGAAGGUCAGGAUGUGAUAUCGGUACCGCGACGAAGGUCAGGAUGUGAUAUCGGUACCGUGACGAAGGUCAGGAUGUGAUAUCGGUACCGUGAUGAAGGUCAGGAUGUGAUAUCGGUACCGUGACGAAGGUCAGGAUGCGAUAUCGGUACCGCGACGAAGGUCAGGAUGCGAUAUCGGUACCGCGACGAAGGUCAGGAUGUGAUAUCGGUACCGUGAUGAAGGUCAGGAUGUGAUAUCGGUACCGUGACGAAGGUCAGGAUGUGAUAUCGGUACCGCGAUGAAGGUCAGGAUGUGAUAUCGGUACCGUGACGAAGGUCAGGAUGUGAUAUCGGUACCGUGAUGAAGGUCAGGAUGUGAUAACGGUACCGCGAUAUGGUUAAUAAAAGCGUGUACAUUUGGACGCUGGUGUUGUAUAACGGUCAUAUGAACACCAGGGUGAACACGGUCACGGGUGCGAGUGCCAACCUGUCAGCUCACACAGGACUCGGGGGCAAAGGAACACCAAACACACUGCUUUCAGAAAACACACACACACACACACACACACACACACACACACACACACACACACAGCUGCCCCAUGUGUUUAGCAUACACACAAAAGCCCUGAGAGAGACAGAGAGCGAGAGAGAGAGACGUUUUUCUUCAGAGAAAAAAAGUACUUCAAAGAGCGAGAGAAAAGCGUGAGAGAAAGACAGGGGGAAGAACAAGAGGAACAAAAGAGACGGAGGAUGAAGAACGAAAGAGAGAGAUGACUGAGAACAAGACCGACAAAAACAGAAAAAGGAAAAAGAGACCGAGUGAACGUGAGAGAUGGGGGAAACCGAAGAACAAGAGAGAGACCAGGACGAGAGCGAAAGAAAAAGAGAGAAAGAACUAGAGAGAGCGUAUUGUAGUCUUUUCUCCCUAAUUAUUCAUCUUCAGGAUGUUUAUCACGUCGUGAUCUUUUAUACGUCAAUUACAACCAAUAAAAUAGCAUUCAUUACAUUUGCAUUGGGGUUGAAAACUGUGAUCUGAUUGGUUACAGCGGCACUAUGGGUGGAGCCAGUUAUCUGAUUGGUUACAGUGGCACCGGAGCCUGUGAUCUGAUUGGUUACAGUGGCCAAUCAGAGCCUGUGAUUUGAUUGGUUACAGCGUCACUGUGGGUGGAGCCUGUGAUCUGAUUGGUUACAGUGGCACCGGAGCCUGUGAUCUGAUUGGUUACAGUGGCCAAUCAGAGCCUGUGAUUUGAUUGGUUACAGCGUCACUGUGGGUGGAGCCUGUGAUCUGAUUGGUUACAGUGGCACCGGACUCUGUGAUCUGAUUGGUUACACUGGCACUGUGGGUGGAGCCUGUGAUCUGAUUGGUUACAGUGGCACCGGAGCCUGUGAUCAGAUUGGUUACGGUGUCACCAUGGGUGGAGCCUGUGAUCGGAUUGGUUACAGUGGCACCGUGGGUGGAGCCUGUGGUCUGACAGGUUACGCACAUUUUUGUAGUGGUGGGUCUUUUCUGGUCCUGAAGGCGGGAUCGGCGCGUACCCCUUGUUCUAGUCAAGAGCUGUACUGCUAGCCAGCGAACUCUGACUUUAAAACAAGCAUGAACCUGAGGAACCUUCACUACAGGAAGUGUGGUAUAACUACACCAUCAGCUCCAACCAGGAGUGCAUCUACACACCGAGGCGUGGGGUACUAGCAGAGUGACACCACCAACAGCUCACACGUACCACAGACUUACAGACGGUUAUCUGACGAGGACACGCACAAAUAUUCAUAUAGGAGCUCAUUAAGCUGUCAAAAUACACUCUAGUGCAAACCUUGGGUGUGUAUUUAUAUAAGUCAUUAUUCGACUGAAACUCUACUCUCUCACACACACACAUCUGCUUUCACACACACAACUCGCCUGACCCAGCAAUCCUCACGCACAUUUCAUCCCGUUAGACGAUGAUUUUUUUUUAGCUCGACUUCUAAGUGUCGCAGAUGUGUCCGUGGAGCUCCGGUAAUAAACACUGUGAGGGGAACUUCCAGGCUAGGUGGGGUCGCCUGCUGGAAACAGAAUGACCCAGUUAAUGGCAAAGCGGUGGCUGUAUAACACCAGAGUCAUGAGCACUAGCACGCAGAGCCUCCGGAGUACAAAGGCCUCCACAGAAUAUCGGAAACUUAAUAAGGGCGCGCUCGGCCACGUGUGAACGUCUGAUAACUCGCUCCUGUCUCGGCGCUUUAAUCUGCACAUCCCAGACGCUGCUUCUGUGAGCCAUCAGAAAGUCAAACCUAUGUCAGGGACGUUACCAUAAGCGUAAAUGUAUAUACACAUAUACACACACACACACACACACUCCAAUGCUGAACUAUAUAUAUAUAUAUAUAUAACCGUAUAAAUAUAAAGUCAUCACGACGAGUGAAGAUGGGGAAGAUCACAACGGGGAAGUCGGAACCGUCCGGAAUAUCGACGUUCACGUCGGUUGCGUUGUUGAAUUAAUACGACUCGUAGUGACUACCGUCGCACCGUAGUUUACUCCUAGCAUCGCGAGUUACGUUUUUAAAUAACGGUGAGAAUAUCUCGCUCUAACGUAUUAAAACACAGAGUAGGGAAAGUUAAACGUACGACAUGUUACUACGACAUUAUUACGGUUGCUAGGCAACUAGGUACCAAGGACCAAGACAUGUUGCUACACUGUUACAAUUUAGCGAGCUAGCACAUUAGGGUGUGUUGGUUAAUUAGUGAGAAACGACUCGACUGCGCCGUCUUUGCGCUUAGCCGCGUUAAAGUCACGUAAACGUUAGCAGUAAUCGACGAGUCCUUUGUGCACUGGAGCAAGAACGGUAGUGAAAAUAUUUCGAUAUCUUUUUAACAUCUAAAGAAUAUAAACGUUUACCCUGGCGCAUAGAGCACUGAAAAUAUCGUUCCUAUUGUUCGUGAGAUAUCCCGGCGUAUAAAUCACAGCCCAGCUCCGUCGAAAACAACACCGGAGAUCAAGACAUCGCGUAAACAUGCUAAAAUUAAAUCACCAGACAGUCUGGAGUACACCAGACAGUCACACGGAGUAGACUAGACACCGUGACUGGCUAGCGCUCGUACGAAACGUCGGCCAUUUUAAAAACGAUGCACAGAAUUCGUUUGAAUAUUCCUCAUUCGUUGACGUUUUAAAAAAAAAAUCUUUUAUUUGUCUUGCGAUGCAAAGCGUACGUUAUGACGCAACGAAAAAGUUCAAUGUAGCGUCCAACUUUACGCGUUGUUUAAUUAUUUGAUUACGUUAUCUAGGCAUACGGCUACAUCCUCAGGCUAGUUCAACUAAUAAGCAUGUUAGCUAGCUACUAAAUAAGCUACGGUUUUACGCAAUAAAAACUGUACGGAUUAAACCAAGAAUUAUUAACAUGACACGAUGGGACGUUCCUUAAUCGUUACAAUCCCGUAAUCAUUAAAUCUCUGUUGAACUCCGGACUCUGAUUGGUUCGGAAACGGUGCGGAUUCAUUUCUAAAACGACGUAAUACGUUAUCGUUUCCAUAGUAACAGCUCAUCUGUACGGGACCGGUACGGCGUACGCUCUGCUGUAAAGCAAUUAUUAGUACAGAAAAAUCGCCGAUACGGUGACGGCUGUCUGUAAGGAGGCGUCUAUGUAAUAUUUAUAUAUGGAAGGAGUCUCCAGUGU